This 1343-nucleotide ribosomal RNA is filed under the name uncultured bacterium. RNAcentral describes it as "16S ribosomal RNA". It matches the Rfam family "Bacterial small subunit ribosomal RNA", at positions 28 to 1378 of the family's 1533-position model. The record is from RNAcentral.
GACGAACGCUGGCGGCGUGCUUAACACAUGCAAGUCGAACGGAAAGGCCCUGCUUUUGUGGGGUGCUCGAGUGGCGAACGGGUGAGUAACACGUGAGUAACCUGCCCUUGACUUUGGGAUAACUUCAGGAAACUGGGGCUAAUACCGGAUAGGAGCUCCUGCUGCAUGGUGGGGGUUGGAAAGUUUCGGCGGUUGGGGAUGGACUCGCGGCUUAUCAGCUUGUUGGUGGGGUAGUGGCUUACCAAGGCUUUGACGGGUAGCCGGCCUGAGAGGGUGACCGGCCACAUUGGGACUGAGAUACGGCCCAGACUCCUACGGGAGGCAGCAGUGGGGAAUAUUGCACAAUGGGCGGAAGCCUGAUGCAGCAACGCCGCGUGCGGGAUGACGGCCUUCGGGUUGUAAACCGCUUUCGCCUGUGACGAAGCGUGAGUGACGGUAAUGGGUAAAGAAGCACCGGCUAACUACGUGCCAGCAGCCGCGGUGAUACGUAGGGUGCGAGCGUUGUCCGGAUUUAUUGGGCGUAAAGGGCUCGUAGGUGGUUGAUCGCGUCGGAAGUGUAAUCUUGGGGCUUAACCCUGAGCGUGCUUUCGAUACGGGUUGACUUGAGGAAGGUAGGGGAGAAUGGAAUUCCUGGUGGAGCGGUGGAAUGCGCAGAUAUCAGGAGGAACACCAGUGGCGAAGGCGGUUCUCUGGGCCUUUCCUGACGCUGAGGAGCGAAAGCGUGGGGAGCGAACAGGCUUAGAUACCCUGGUAGUCCACGCUGUAAACGGUGGGUACUAGGUGUGGGGUCCAUUCCACGGGUUCCGUGCCGUAGCUAACGCUUUAAGUACCCCGCCUGGGGAGUACGGCCGCAAGGCUAAAACUCAAAGGAAUUGACGGGGCCCCGCACAAGCGGCGGAGCAUGCGGAUUAAUUCGAUGCAACGCGUAGAACCUUACCUGGGUUUGACAUGGAUCGGGAGUGCUCAGAGAUGGGUGUGCCUCUUUUGGGGUCGGUUCACAGGUGGUGCAUGGCUGUCGUCAGCUCGUGUCGUGAGAUGUUGGGUUAAGUCCCGCAACGAACGCAACCCUUGUUCACUGUUGCCAGCACGUUAUGGUGGGGACUCAGUGGAGACCGCCGGGGUCAACUCGGAGGAAGGUGGGGAUGACGUCAAGUCAUCAUGCCCCUUAUGUCCAGGGCUUCACGCAUGCUACAAUGGCUGGUACAGAGAGUGGCGAGCCUGUGAGGGUGAGCGAAUCUCGGAAAGCCGGUCUCAGUUCGGAUUGGGGUCUGCAACUCGACCUCAUGAAGUCGGAGUCGCUAGUAAUCGCAGAUCAGCAACGCUGCGGUGAAUACGUUCCCGGG